Vitis vinifera (wine grape) is the source of this 2578-nucleotide RNA transcript. It is a transcript of the gene named two-pore potassium channel 1, with no coding region annotated. The record is from RefSeq and is a predicted model, not a curated record. The transcript is spliced from 5 exons. Lineage: Eukaryota; Viridiplantae; Streptophyta; Magnoliopsida; Vitales; Vitaceae.
AUUGGAUAUUUUUGGCCUUUUCAGGAACAUGUGCCAUGGCUCUGAUCCUAUCUUUCAGGGUUUUCUGUAGGACCUGAAAAAUCAAUUUUUUUGUUUCUCUUUUUUUCCAUACGGUUCAUGGACAGAACCCGGCUUUUCUCAGAAUCAGAUUUGUUUAGUAGGCUGAUGGCAGAUGAUAAUGCUAAGCAGUCCUUGCUUUCUGAGACGGUCGAUCCUUCUCAUUUGAAUGAAAGCAAUGCCCUCAAGAGAAGGAAAAUCCGCCGUUGUGGGAGUGCUCCUUUAUCAGUUAUGAAUUGCUCGGGACACAAUGGCAUUGGGUCUCUUCCACAUCUUAAAUCCAUGUUUGUGAAACUAGAACCUAGUUUCAAACAAGUAUUCAUCUUAUUGGCUGCCUAUCUCGCUGUUGGGACUCUCUGCUUCUACCUAAUUAGGGAUCAGAUCAAGGGUAGGAAAACAAAUGGGGUUCUUGAUGCUGUUUACUUCUGUGUUGUGACAAUGACCACUGUUGGGUAUGGGGAUCUCGUGCCUGAUACCAUUUUGGCGAAGCUACUGGCCUGUGUUUUUGUCUUCAGUGGCAUGGCUCUUGGUGGGCUAAUUCUUAGUAGAGCAGCAGACUAUAUUGUAGAAAAGCAGGAAGUCCUUUUAGUUAAGGCCAUGCACAGGCAUGAAAAAGCUGGUCCUGCUGAGAUUCUGAAGGAUGUUGAGACCAACAAAGUCAAAUACAAAUUUUUUCUGGCCCUGAUCCUUCUUUUGGUGCUUAUAAUUGUGGGAACCCUCUUGUUGUCCUUAGUGGAGAAACUGAGUUUCAUUGAUGCCUUCUACUGUGUCUGUGUCACCGUCACUACUCUGGGGUACGGCGAUGAGAGUUUCUCUACUGGAGUUGGUCGUGCAUUUGCUGUUUUUUGGAUACUUAGCAGUACCAUUUGUUUAGCUCAGUUCUUUCUCUACCUUGCUGAACUAUACACCGAAGGCAGGCAAAGAUCACUAGUCAAAUGGGUUCUUACUCGAAAAAUGACAUUCUCAGAUCUUGAGGGAGCAGAUCUUGAUCACGAUCAAGCUGUCUGUGCUGCUGAGUUCAUCUUAUACAAGCUCAAAGAAAUGGGAAAGAUCAGCCAGGAAGAUAUAUUGCUUUGGAUGGAGAGGUUUAAAGAUCUUGAUGUUGAUGGCUCAGGAACUUUGACAAGAGCUAACCUAAUGCUUUCCCAGUGACGUUGAACUAACCUUAUCGAGCUGGUACUCUAAUUUUGUAAAACAUUCAUAGUAGCAGGGAAAAGCUGGAAAAGGCAUGGCUACGUGAGGAUUUUCACCUUGAAACGUAUCCUAGAUAUUGGGAGGAUGUGUUCUCAUCUGAUGGAAAAAUUGAAGAAAAUGGUAGUAUUUCAAUGUUGAACUCUGCCUUGACACACAAUGUGAAGGGAGUUAAAUUUCAGGUUUCUUGCCAUGGUAUCUGGUUAAGGGUGGAAAUCUGGUCAGUACUUGGAAUUCAAGGAGCUUGAACCAAGCCUAGUUUGGACUCUGGAUGAAUCCCUUUCUUUGUGGUUUGAUUCAGAGCAUGCCUAGUUUUGACCUUCUCCAUCGUAUUUGUCUCCUUGAACAGGUUGACAUUUUUUUAGCAAUCAAUUGGUCUGUGCCAUAUUCAAGGAGAAAACAGUGAAAAAGAAUAUAUAACCAACACAAGUGCUAGGCGGUGAAAGCUGGCCAAACACGAUCAUUACCAUCAACAACACAGCUGUGGAGACAAAGAGAGGCCAGAAGUAUGCAAGAAUGGUUAGGAAGCGAGGCGCCACUUGAAACAGCAAGGCGAGGAUUAUUGAAACAACGACUGUUAUGAUGAAGUGAUAUUGAUACUGCAUUAGCUUUGUUUGGAUCUCCAUGGUUCCCUUCAUUCUUGAGGUAUGAAGAUUGUUUCCCCCUUUGCAGGGAUCCUAUGCUGCAAAUGCCGCUUUCAAGAAUUUCCCCCGUCUUGCUUCAUCCAUCUGCUAUUUAUUUUCUCAGGUGAACCAUUCUUCUGAAGCUCUAAUGACCAAAAUACCUUCCUUCCUCAGCAUAACCUUAGACCCAACUGUAAGGAACUUCACCAGUUAUAAUUACCAAAUAAUGAAUUCCCAAAUACCUUUAUGAUUCUGUUGUUGCUCUGGUUGGGUCUGGUAUCUACUGCAGCUGGGGUUAGGUGCUUGAUUUCAUGUAUCACCAACCUUGAGGGUAAUUGCAGAUGGCUGGAGGGGUCCUUUGGUAAUUACAGGAGAACCAAGAGAACAUUUUGGUAUAUAUUCUUCAUCCACUCCUUUGAUUCGAUGGUUGCUUUGUCCCUUUUCAAGUGCCUACUUUUCAAUUGGAAUGAAGAUUAAGAUACAGGAAAGGCAUAGCUUCUUUUUUUCUCCUUUAUGGUAAUGAAUUGAGGAAAGGAUUAGCUGAUCAAACAAGAAAUGAGAGUCAUCUUGGCCAAGUUUAUUCUUCUUUUGGACUUUCACUAUUAAAAAUGAUUACUUUGUGGGAGGGUUUUGUAGAUAUCAUCCAUUGUCUCUUUCUUUUGUGAUUCUAUACUUUCAUAUUGAUGAAAUCAUUAUUUCUAUGCUCA